Molecule: long non-coding RNA, 917 nt
Filed under: Trifolium pratense (red clover)
Lineage: Eukaryota; Viridiplantae; Streptophyta; Magnoliopsida; Fabales; Fabaceae
Description: long non-coding RNA (TPRA_LNC008204)
Source: RNAcentral
GUUGGUUAGGAAAGAAGAUAUACUUAUCUUCUUUUGUUUCCUGUUUUUUUUUUUUAAUAACUUUUUUGGAAGUUAUUUCAAAUUAUUUUUUAUUAGAUAAAUUUGAAUUUUCCUUAAUAUUAGUUGAUUGUUAUUGGAUAUGUUUCCUACUCUAUCUUUUUUGUUUCUUAGCACGGUUAACAUUAUAAUUAAAGAGUCACGUCAAAUGUAGACUAUUCAAAUUUGUUUAAUCAAAGGUCAAUAUUUAUAUUCAUUUAACUAUUUUUUUGUUAUCGUGAUAUUGAUACGAAAUUUUAACCGCCGUUAGUGAUAAUUAAUCUCCGUCGGAGAAUCUGUGGGAGACACAAGGUUGGUUCUCCCCUCCCAACCAAAUUUUCUUGGUAUGCAUGAGCCAAGAAUCGAACCCCUGAUCAUAUGCUUAAGGGAACCAAAAGCCUUACCACUUGGACUAAUUCAUUGUUGGUUGUUCAUUCUCAGCUGGUUAAGAUAGUUGAGCUAAGGGUUAAGGAGCAAGANNNNAAAAAAAAAACAAUAAUUAGUUUUGUUAAAUCUAUAUGAAAUAUUUAUUUUCCAAAAAUAAAGAUAAUGUUAAUUCUCUUGAGAAUUCUUUCCUCCAAAUAUGUUCGUUUCGUUGGAACUACUAUGCUUAAUGCCUCGUGUCCAUCCAUAUAUCUUGCAUCAUUUUUUAUUUUUUUUUAAGUUUCUUUGUUUAAUGAACAGAAAAGGGAUUGUACAACUCGUUCCGUCAAAAAAAAAAAAAACACCAAGCGUUGUUGAUAAUUUGGUUUACCAAGCAUUAAUAAUUUAAGGCAAAUGCUAACUAGUGUUCCUGAGGCGUUAGUGAUAAGUGUCAAAAAACAGUAAUUUUACUUAUAUAUUUUAAGCAUUUAUUGACUUAUUUUAUAAAGUUAUUUGAA